Molecule: ribosomal RNA, 350 nt
Filed under: uncultured bacterium
Lineage: Bacteria
Description: bacterial SSU rRNA
Rfam family: Bacterial small subunit ribosomal RNA
Source: RNAcentral
GGACCCGCACAAGCGGUGGAGCAUGUGGUUUAAUUCGAUGCAACGCGAAAAAACCUUACCUACUCUUGACAUACUUGGAAGCUCUUGUAAUGAGAGUAUGCCUUUUUGGAACCAAGAUACAGGUGCUGCAUGGCUGUCGUCAGCUCGUGUCGUGAGAUGUUCCGUUAAGUCGGAUAACGAGCGCAACCCUUACCCUUAUUUGCCAGCGAUUCGGUCGGGAACUAUAAGGGGACUGCCGGUGAUAAACCGGAGGAAGGUGAGGACGACGUCAAGUCAUCAUGGCCCUUACGAGUAGGGCUACACACGUGCUACAAUGGGGAAUACAGACGGACGCUAAGCCGCAGGUGGUG